RNAcentral lists this ribosomal RNA (1343 nucleotides) under uncultured bacterium. RNAcentral's name for it is "16S ribosomal RNA". It matches the Rfam family "Bacterial small subunit ribosomal RNA", at positions 28 to 1378 of the family's 1533-position model. The record is from RNAcentral.
GACGAACGCUUGCGGCGUGCUUAACACAUGCAAGUCGAACGGAAAGGCCCUGCUUUUGUGGGGUGCUCGAGUGGCGAACGGGUGAGUAACACGUGAGUAACCUGCCCUUGACUUUGGGAUAACUUCAGGAAACUGGGGCUAAUACCGGAUAGGGGCUCCUGCUGCAUGGUGGGGGUUGGAAAGUUUCGGCGGUUGGGGAUGGACUCGCGGCUUAUCAGCUUGUUGGUGGGGUAGUGGCUUACCAAGGCUUUGACGGGUAGCCGGCCUGAGAGGGUGACCGGCCACAUUGGGACUGAGAUACGGCCCAGACUCCUACGGGAGGCAGCAGUGGGGAAUAUUGCACAAUGGGCGGAAGCCUGAUGCAGCAACGCCGCGUGCGGGAUGACGGCCUUCGGGUUGUAAACCGCUUUCGCCUGUGACGAAGCGUGAGUGACGGUAAUGGGUAAAGAAGCACCGGCUAACUACGUGCCAGCAGCCGCGGUGAUACGUAGGGUGCGAGCGUUGUCCGGAUUUAUUGGGCGUAAAGGGCUCGUAGGUGGUUGAUCGCGUCGGAAGUGUAAUCUUGGGGCUUAACCCUGAGCGUGCUUUCGAUACGGGUUGACUUGAGGAAGGUAGGGGAGAAUGGAAUUCCUGGUGGAGCGGUGGAAUGCGCAGAUAUCAGGAGGAACACCAGUGGCGAAGGCGGUUCUCUGGGCCUUUCCUGACGCUGAGGAGCGAAAGCGUGGGGAGCGAACAGGCUUAGAUACCCUGGUAGUCCACGCUGUAAACGGUGGGUACUAGGUGUGGGGUCCAUUCCACGGGUUCCGUGCCGUAGCUAACGCUUUAAGUACCCCGCCUGGGGAGUACGGCCGCAAGGCUAAAACUCAAAGGAAUUGACGGGGCCCCGCACAAGCGGCGGAGCAUGCGGAUUAAUUCGAUGCAACGCGUAGAACCUUACCUGGGUUUGACAUGGAUCGGGAGUGCUCAGAGAUGGGUGUGCCUCUUUUGGGGUCGGUUCACAGGUGGUGCAUGGCUGUCGUCAGCUCGUGUCGUGAGAUGUUGGGUUAAGUCCCGCAACGAGCGCAACCCUUGUUCACUGUUGCCAGCAUGUUAUGGUGGGGACUCAGUGGAGACCGCCGGGGUCAACUCGGAGGAAGGUGGGGAUGACGUCAAGUCAUCAUGCCCCUUAUGUCCAGGGCUUCACGCAUGCUACAAUGGCUGGUACAGAGAGUGGCGAGCCUGUGAGGGUGAGCGAAUCUCGGAAAGCCGGUCUCAGUUCGGAUUGGGGUCUGCAACUCGACCUCAUGAAGUCGGAGUCGCUAGUAAUCGCAGAUCAGCAACGCUGCGGUGAAUACGUUCCCGGG